This 29-nucleotide non-coding RNA is filed under the name Cricetulus griseus (Chinese hamster). Lineage: Eukaryota; Metazoa; Chordata; Mammalia; Rodentia; Cricetidae. The record is from RNAcentral.
GUCCAGAAAUAAAAGGAGUACCUCUAACU